Mus caroli (Ryukyu mouse) is the source of this 411-nucleotide non-coding RNA. Lineage: Eukaryota; Metazoa; Chordata; Mammalia; Rodentia; Muridae. The record is from RefSeq and is a predicted model, not a curated record.
GCCUCUUUGAAAUGUGGAUUUUGGACAUUGAACUAAGAAGGAUCAUGUGGAAUGAAAUGGUAUUCUGUGUCUCAGAUUCUAACAAUGGAAUCCUAUGAUGAGUUGAAAACUUGGCAGGAAGAAACUUUGCUUCAGGAUUUACUCUGACAUGUGCAAAUUUAUCUGUAAGGACCCCACGUCAUGGAAUGAUGACAUCUGCAUUUAGAGUACAUCUCAUCUCAGUAAGCUGUCUGGAAACAUUUCCUGCACAGACACAACCUUUUGCCUUUUGGAUGAUUUCUAGCCAUGCCAAACUGAUAAUCAAAAUCAACUAUCACAGUGACUGAUGAGGAGUAAUAUUGUUGGGUUCCUAUGGUAAAUAGGAUGGACUGGCGGCUGGUCUUGGCUUGUUUAUGGAGCUCGCAGUGCAAC